AUUAAAAAUUGUAAAAUGGCCUCUAAUAAAUGUUUGCGACUAUUAUAAUAACGAAUUUAUAAAUGAAAAUCGCGAUUUUGAACGUGUACAGUGCGAAGAACCGGUGCAAAUUAAAAUACUGUCGUGAAUUUCGGUAUCCAUCUAACCUGUGAUGUCUAAUUUGAGUGCAAAAAUGAAUACAAACAAGAACAAGUGGUGUUUAUUUACAAUAUCGGAUUCCUAACCCUACUUUUAUGUAAACAAUAAACAACCACAGCCAAAAUGAGGCACUUGGAGAAAUUUCAGAUAAGUUCCACCUCGUCCGAUGGAUUCGACGUCAAAUCCGAGUACUUUGAAUCACUGGACAUGAAAUCGGAGUACUUCGACGACAUAGAAGACAUGAAAGAACAGAUACCUGAUCUUCUAGACGAAAACUUUAUUAAACAAGAACUUUGUCAUGAAAAGGACAGUUUGAUCGGUGCUAAUCUAAACCUGGACGACAACGACUCAGGCGAAGAGUUCGAUCCUAUUCUCAAAAGCGAGGUCAAGAAGAACAGGAGGAAAGCAACAGCACCACAGCGAGCAAUCCAAAUUGAGAAUGGAUCGAUUGGCAACAGUUCUGAGUCUUCGCAGGAUUUAGUUGAGAGUUUGGGCACAAGUUUUAUGAACAAUCAAGCGGGCUUAUGCAUGAUUCUGGGGGUUCAAGACAAUAUCAUUGAUCCUGCAGAAGGUGGGGAUAUUUUGAAUGAGAUCAACGAGGAUGAUAUUUUUAAGGAUCUCCAAGAGGAAGCUGAUGGUGAAAAAAUUGACAGUGAAAUAUUAGAUAAUGUGAAAGAAGAAUGGCGAGCCCAUUGGGGCAUAAAAUGCAAUAUGUGCGAACAAGUUUUCCCGCACAAGUUUAAAUUCGACGAACAUUACACCACUACUUAUAAUUUAGUGCCAGUUUAUACUUGCACCUUUUGCAAUAAGACUGCUGAAAAAUAUUCAACUUUCAGAUCUCAUUGUUACCGUCACAUAACUGAGGGUAGAUACAAGUGUGAUGAGUGUUCCAAAGGAUUUAGUUUAAGGAGCAUGCUUCAUGUACAUAUUCUGGCCAAACACACCAAAGCAAAGCCUUUUAUAUGUGAAGAGUGUGGGAGGAGUUUUGUGACCAAACCAGGAUUGAAAAUACAUUUAAAAAAACAUAAGACUGAAACUAAGGAAGACUAUCCUUGUGUAGAAUGCGGGAAAAUAUUACACACAAGAGGCGGACUAACAUCACAUAUGAAUGUACACAGACUUGGCAGGAGAUUUAUGUGUGACGUGUGUGGAAAAACGUUCACCCAAAAAGUCAACAUGCAGCAACACGUCAAGCAGCAUACAGGAGACAAACCCCAUGUCUGUGAUAAAUGUGGAAAAACGUUUGCUGAAAAAUCCCACUUGGCAAGGCACUAUAGUUUCCACAGUGACGUUCGUCCGUUCAAAUGCAAAGUAUGCCAAAAAAUGUACAAGACUGAAAGGUGCUUAAAGGUCCAUAGUCUGGUUCAUGCGGAGGCCCGGCCCUUCGUUUGCGAUUAUUGUCACAAGGGAUUUCUGAGCAGCACCAAACUGAAGCAACACUACAAUAUACACACAGGCGAACGCCCGUACAAAUGCAAGUACUGCGAACGAACAUUUACGAACUACCCGAACUGGCUGAAGCACACACGUCGCCGUCACAAAGUCGAUCACAAGACCGGCGCCGAACUGGAACCGAAGCCGACAGUGGCGUACUUACCGAAAGAGGAAUCCGCCCCAGCUGUUGUGGUCAACGCCACCGUCCCCAGUGCGGAUCCUUUGUUUGCGAAGCCGCAGCUGGACGCGGAUAGUGAGCAGAUACUGGCCGACAUCAGCAUGCUGAAAACUGAAGACCUGUUGCAGCAGGGGCUGCUCAAUUUUACGCCAGUUGACGAUAAGUUUUUGAUGCAGCCCCAAUUGGAUCUCAAUUCUGGAGGCAGCUCAAUGGGGUUAUUGGUGCCGUAUUUCCAAUCAACGUUGCCAUCACAUCAGACCCUGAGACAGCCCAACACGUCGACAGUAAUACCGCUACAAUUGAGUGAAUUUUUACACACUUCUUACAUUCAACAGACGUUACCUUGUGAUUAGAAGUUGUUUCAGGUUGCAAGUACAUCGAGAAUGGGUAUUUAAGUUUCCUGUUCCAGUACAUGUUGUAAUUUGGAGAUUUUACUUUUUGAUUAGCUUUUUGAAUAAAGUCAGCUUAUGUAUGAAUUGUUAAUUAAUAUUAAUAAUUAUAAGAGUAAACGAAACGAUUUAUGUAAAAAUAUUUUUUCACAAUUUGGUCUCAUAAUUAAAGCUGCAUAUGUGGUUGAAAUUUGUUGGUAUGAAGACUGAAAAUUGAUUACACCCUGUUCUUUUUUUAUGUUUUCAUAAUAAUAAUCAACUUAAGAAAAGAUUUAAUACCGGAACGUCACAUGCAAUAUCGUGAUAUUUUAAACAUAACGGACUUAAUCCAAAGUCUAACAUGUAACGCUCAGUUACGAUCUAUAUUCUAAGUCAUACUUUAUAAAAUAUUAGGUAAUAGUUAAGCUUAGCUCUCUAGUACAGUAAACUUUUAAUUAUACAUAUUUUAAUCAUAAGUAUAAUUUUACUAGGGUGUUUUCAACAGUGUUUUUUGUGCAUCGAUAUUUGUUAUCCGUACUUGAACGUCUGUGAAGUGAAUUAUAUAUAUAAUUUUGCAUGCAUCUUAAACAUCAUGUAUCCACUUUUACUGCUCGUGAAACCCAAAAAGUAUUAUUAAUCAUUAAACGCAUAAAAAAUCAAAUCAAUAAUGUAUACUUCUUUAUUAGACAAUCUUAAAAUUAGGAGAAUGUGUUUCAGCGUAUUUACAUUCCAAAUAAUGUGACAAAUGUGUUUUGUAACUCCCUGUAUAAAUUUAUGUAAACGGCCUAUUUCAAAUUUUGCGUGUACAAAUAUAUUUUUGUAAGUUUAUAUAAUAUGUGUUAGAGUAAGAGUUGAAAUACAAGAAUACUAUGAUCACAACAUGUCUCUUUUU
This is an RNA transcript of Aethina tumida (small hive beetle), 3010 nucleotides long. It is a transcript of the gene named zinc finger protein 480, with no coding region annotated. The transcript has 9 exons. Lineage: Eukaryota; Metazoa; Arthropoda; Insecta; Coleoptera; Nitidulidae. The record is from RefSeq and is a predicted model, not a curated record.